Molecule: ribosomal RNA, 490 nt
Filed under: uncultured bacterium
Lineage: Bacteria
Description: partial 16S ribosomal RNA
Rfam family: Bacterial small subunit ribosomal RNA
Source: RNAcentral
AUUGAACGCUGGCGGCAGGCCUAACACAUGCAAGUCGAACGGUAACAGGAAGCAGCUUGCUGCUUCGCUGACGAGUGGCGGACGGGUGAGUCAUGUCUGGGAAGCUGCCUGAUGGAGGGGGAUAACUACUGGAAACGGUAGCUAAUACCGCAUAAUGUCGCAAGACCAAAGAGGGGGACCUUCGGGCCUCUUGCCAUCGGAUGUGCCCAGAUGGGAUUAGCUUGUUGGUGGGGUAACGGCUCACCAAGGCGACGAUCCCUAGCUGGUCUGAGAGGAUGACCAGCCACACUGGGACUGAGACACGGUCCAGACUCCUACGGGAGGCAGCAGUGGGGAAUAUUGCACAAUGGGCGCAAGCCUGAUGCAGCCAUGCCGCGUGUAUGAAGAAGGCCUUCGGGUUGUAAAGUACUUUCAGCGGGGAGGAAGGGAGUAAAGUUAAUACCUUUGCUCAUUGACGUUACCCGCAGAAGAAGCACCGGCUAACUCCGUG